This 539-nucleotide ribosomal RNA is filed under the name uncultured bacterium. RNAcentral describes it as "partial 16S ribosomal RNA". It matches the Rfam family "Bacterial small subunit ribosomal RNA", at positions 355 to 887 of the family's 1533-position model. The record is from RNAcentral.
UGGGGAAUAUUGCACAAUGGGCGCAAGCCUGAUGCAGCCAUGCCGCGUGUGUGAAGAAGGCCUUCGGGUUGUAAAGCACUUUCAGCGAGGAGGAAGGUGGUGAACUUAAUACGUUCAUCAAUUGACGUUACUCGCAGAAGAAGCACCGGCUAACUCCGUGCCAGCAGCCGCGGUAAUACGGAGGGUGCAAGCGUUAAUCGGAAUUACUGGGCGUAAAGCGCACGCAGGCGGUUUGUUAAGUCAGAUGUGAAAUCCCCGGGCUCAACCUGGGAACUGCAUUUGAAACUGGCAAGCUAGAGUCUCGUAGAGGGGGGUAGAAUUCCAGGUGUAGCGGUGAAAUGCGUAGAGAUCUGGAGGAAUACCGGUGGCGAAGGCGGCCCCCUGGACGAAGACUGACGCUCAGGUGCGAAAGCGUGGGGAGCAAACAGAUUAGAUACCCUGGUAGUCACGCUGUAAACGAUGUCGAUUUUGGAGGUUGUGCCCUUGAGGCGUGGCUUCCGGAGCUAACGCGUUAAAUCGACCGCCUGGGGAGUACGGCC